This 63-nucleotide transfer RNA is filed under the name Dermacentor albipictus. Its description in RNAcentral is "tRNA-Val". The record is from RNAcentral. Lineage: Eukaryota; Metazoa; Arthropoda; Arachnida; Ixodida; Ixodidae.
AAAAAAUGAAAUCAUUAGAUGUUUCACUUACAAUGAAAAUUUGUAUUAAAUUACCAUUUUUUU